UACGAAAGGGGCUAGCGUUGUUCGGAAUUACUGGGCGUAAAGCGCACGUAGGCGGCCUUGUAAGUUGGGGGUGAAAUCCCCGGGCUCAACCCGGGAACUGCCUUCAAGACUGCAAAGCUCGAGGAUGCGAGAGGUUAGCGGAAUUCCGAGUGUAGAGGUGAAAUUCGUAGAUAUUCGGAAGAACACCAGUGGCGAAGGCGGCUAACUGGCGCAUUUCUGACGCUGAGGUGCGAAAGCGUGGGGAGCAAACAGG
Molecule: ribosomal RNA, 253 nt
Filed under: uncultured bacterium
Lineage: Bacteria
Description: partial 16S ribosomal RNA
Rfam family: Bacterial small subunit ribosomal RNA
Source: RNAcentral